RNAcentral lists this ribosomal RNA (516 nucleotides) under uncultured bacterium. RNAcentral's name for it is "bacterial SSU rRNA". It matches the Rfam family "Bacterial small subunit ribosomal RNA", at positions 9 to 526 of the family's 1533-position model. The record is from RNAcentral.
GAGUUUGAUCCUGGCUCAGGAUGAACGCUGGCGGCGUGCUUAACACAUGCAAGUCGAACGGGAAAUAUUUCAUUGAGACUUCGGUGGAUUUGAUCUAUUUCUAGUGGCGGACGGGUGAGUAACGCGUGGGUAACCUGCCUUAUACAGGGGGAUAACAGUCAGAAAUGGCUGCUAAUACCGCAUAAGCGCACAGAGCUGCAUGGCUCGGUGUGAAAAACUCCGGUGGUACAGGAUGGGCCCGCGUCUGAUUAGCUGGUUGGCAGGGUAACGGCCUACCAAGGCAACGAUCAGUAGCCGGUCUGAGAGGAUGAACGGCCACAUUGGAACUGAGACACGGUCCAAACUCCUACGGGAGGCAGCAGUGGGGAAUAUUGCACAAUGGGGGAAACCCUGAUGCAGCAACGCCGCGUGGGUGAAGAAGUAUUUCGGUAUGUAAAGCUCUAUCAGCAGGGAAGAUAAUGACGGUACCUGACUAAGAAGCUCCGGCUAAAUACGUGCCAGCCGCCGCGGUAAUUC